This 496-nucleotide ribosomal RNA is filed under the name uncultured bacterium. RNAcentral's name for it is "partial 16S ribosomal RNA". It matches the Rfam family "Bacterial small subunit ribosomal RNA", at positions 28 to 506 of the family's 1533-position model. The record is from RNAcentral.
GAUGAACGCUGGCGGCGUGCCUAAUACAUGCAAGUCGAGCGAACAGACGAGGAGCUUGCUCCUCUGACGUUAGCGGCGGACGGGUGAGUAACACGUGGAUAACCUACCUAUAAGACUGGGAUAACUUCGGGAAGCCGGAGCUAAUACCGGAUAAUAUAUUGAACCGCAUGGUUCAAUAGUGAAAGACGGUUUUGCUGUCACUUAUAGAUGGAUCCGCGCCGCAUUAGCUAGUUGGUAAGGUAACGGCUUACCAAGGCAACGAUGCGUAGCCGACCUGAGAGGGUGAUCGGCCACACGGGAACGGAGACACGGUCCAGACCCCUACGGGAGGCCGCAGUGGGGAAUCUUCCGCAAGGGGCGAAAGCCUGACGGAGCAACGCCGCGUGAGUUAUGAAGGUCUUCGGAUCGUAAAACUCUUUUAUUAGGGAAAAAAAAAUGUGUAAGUAACUAUGCACGUCUUGACGGUACCUAAUCAGAAAGCCACGGCUAACUACGU